RNAcentral lists this ribosomal RNA (439 nucleotides) under uncultured bacterium. RNAcentral's name for it is "partial 16S ribosomal RNA". It matches the Rfam family "Bacterial small subunit ribosomal RNA", at positions 339 to 795 of the family's 1533-position model. The record is from RNAcentral.
CUACGGGAGGCACCAGUGAGGAAUAUUGCACAAUGGGGGGAACCCUGAUGCAGUAACGCCGCGUGGAGGAUGACGCAUUUCGGUGUGUAAACUCCUUUUAUAUGUCAAGAAAAUGACGGUAGCAUAUGAAUAAGCACCGGCUAACUCCGUGCCAGCAGCCGCGGUAAUACGGAGGGUGCAAGCGUUACUCGGAAUCACUGGGCGUAAAGGACGCGUAGGCGGGUUGGAAAGUCAGGUGUGAAAUCCUACAGCUUAACUGUAGAACUGUACUUGAAACUUCUAAUCUAGAGUAUGGGAGGGGGAGAUGGAAUUAGUGGUGUAGGGGUAAAAUCCGUAGAUAUCACUAGGAAUACCUAAAGCGAAGGCGAUCUCCUGGAACAUUACUGACGCUAAGGCGUGAAAGCGUGGGGAGCAAACAGGAUUAGAUACCCUCGUAGUC